CCUACGGGUGGCAGCAGUGGGGAAUAUUGCGCAAUGGGCGAAAGCCUGACGCAGCGACGCCGCGUGGGGGAUGAAGGUCUUCGGAUCGUAAACCUCUGUCAGCAGGGAAGAACGGUCACUGUGCUAAUCAGCAGUGAAUUGACGGUACCUGCAAAGGAAGCACCGGCUAACUCCGUGCCAGCAGCCGCGGUAAUACGGAGGGUGCGAGCGUUAAUCGGAAUUACUGGGCGUAAAGCGCGCGUAGGCGGUAUGUCAAGUCAAGGGUGAAAUCCCCGGGCUCAACGUGGGAACUGCCUUUGAAACUGGUAAACUGGAGUGUGUGAGAGGAUAGUGGAACUCCAGGUGUAGGAGUGAAAUGCGUAGAUAUCUGGAGGAACAUCAGUGGCGAAGGCGACUAUCUGGCACAUAACUGACGCUGAGGAGCGAAAGCGUGGGUAGCAAACAGGAUUAGAUACCCGUGUAGUC
Molecule: ribosomal RNA, 465 nt
Filed under: uncultured bacterium
Lineage: Bacteria
Description: partial 16S ribosomal RNA
Rfam family: Bacterial small subunit ribosomal RNA
Source: RNAcentral